GGAAUCAAACUCAAAGUAAGGUCAGUACUUCCACGCUUUAAACGCUGCAUGCUCAUACUCUCUCCCGCACUCGAUAUGUCAUCCAUUGUUGAUCUGCACGCAGCUGUUGCCAUGAAUGUCGCACUUGCUUACGUCACUGUCGUGAGACAUUCUCGCAAAAAAAUCACGGUUUUAGUAACGCAGUAACGCAGCGUUCCUACGGGAAAGUAACGGUAAUCUAAUUACCGUUUUUGCAAUAGCAAUCCCUUACUUUACUCGUUACUUGAAAAAAGUAAUCGGAUUACAGUAACACGUUACAAGUAACGCGUUACUGCCCAUCUCUGGUUAUCAUAGUUAUCACAGAUUGGUCAUAGUUCAGUUUUUCCAGUUUGGGUUUUACUUUAGUUUUUGCCCUGCUCGCCUCUGAUUUGUUUUGUUCUUCGUGUUUAAUCAGUCUGGCUCAUUUUUUUUUUAAAGACACAGUUCUGUCUCCUUCCCUGUCUGCACUUGGGUCCACUUCAUCAUCACACCGCUGUGCCCUGCCGUGACACUCAGUGUCUCAGAUUUGGCAAAAGAUUGCUGUAUUUUUGUUUGUUUGUUUGUUUGUUUGUUUGUGGGGUUUUUUUGUUUUUUUAAAAGGCUCUAACAAAACUGCAAUUUGCAUCCCACCCCGAAUGCAACAAUGUGGAUGCUUUUCUGAUUUAACAAAGAUCGCUUCAGGUUCUGCGUAACUGAGAUGACAUUGUGAAAAUUUUAGUCCAAUAAGAACUCAACCACAGCCAAGUAUAAGAGUAAAAUACUGCUUAAACAUUGGUGCAACAGCGAUAUCGAUCUGUGUAAAAUAUCAGUAUAUUAAUCAGAGGGGCCAAUUUUAGCUUGUGGGUAAAGUUUUAAAGCAGGAAGUACUUUUUUAUUUAUUUAUAUUAUUUUACUUAUGUUUUCAUACAGGGCUUAUAAUGUAUUUUUAAAUGGGGGCAUAAGUUCUUUCACCUAAGUAUAACUUAAAUACUUCCUGUCAUAAUUUUCAAGUACUACAUAAUAGCAGUUAUAAUUUCACUGGAGAUUAUGAAAUUUUUCAUUUCAUUACACAGUGGGACUUAAGUCGUGGUUAUAAUCAAGAUAAGAUUAAAUAAAUAAAUUGAUUUAAUAAUAUUUUUUUA
Molecule: long non-coding RNA, 1139 nt
Organism: Astatotilapia calliptera (eastern happy)
Lineage: Eukaryota; Metazoa; Chordata; Actinopteri; Cichliformes; Cichlidae
Source: Ensembl